This is an RNA transcript of Cryptomeria japonica (Japanese cedar), 5622 nucleotides long. RefSeq lists it as uncharacterized. Lineage: Eukaryota; Viridiplantae; Streptophyta; Pinopsida; Cupressales; Cupressaceae. The record is from RefSeq and is a predicted model, not a curated record. The transcript has 16 exons.
GUGUACGUUAAACUAAACGGCGUUGCGUUAAUGUUAUUUUGAUACUAUAUUUAAUUUUAGGGACACAAAACAACAGAGGGAAGAACCAAACAAACAAUACCCUUUACACAAUACCGCAUUAUUUUGCGUCAUUCAUUUCAUUUCUUCGCUUAUCAUCAGCGACCAAUUUCAGCAGAUUUGGCGCCCCAGGGGUUCGAUCUCGCGGCCUCACGAUCUUUUAAGAAAAAUUGUGAAUCAAAGGUUCAAACCAUUCUGUUUAACGUCAUGGACUUUGUGAAUGAUGAUGGGGAAAAUUUUUGCCCACUCUGCAUGGAGGAAAUGGACUUGACUGAUCGUCAAUUGAAACCUUGCAAAUGUGGUUAUGAGAUAUGUGUUUGGUGUUGGCACCAAGUUAUGGAAGUGGCUGAGAAGGAUAACACUGAAGGGCGCUGCCCUGCUUGUCGGACACCAUAUGACAAGGAAAAAAUAGUCGGAAUGACAGUCAGUUGCGACAGACUGGAUAUGUCUUCUGAGAAGCGGCAGAAGUCGCAAAAGUCGAAGACAAAGGCAUCUGAAAUGCGAAAACAUCUCAGUAAUGUUCGAGUCAUUCAGCGGAACCUUGUUUACAUCAUUGGGAUACCUUCAAAUUUAGCUGAUGAAGAGACUCUUGAACGUCGAGAAUUCUUUGGGCAGUAUGGGAAAGUUCUGAAGGUUUCUAUUUCAAAGCCUAGUGCUAGUAAUCAACAUUCUAGCAGUAAUCCAACUUCAAGUGUAUAUAUUACCUAUAUGAAAGAGGAAGAAGCUAUUCGUUGUAUUCAGGUUGUAAAUGGAUAUGUAUUAGAUGGUAGACCGUUAAAAGCUUGUUUUGGUACUACAAAGUACUGCCAUGCAUGGUUGAAAAAUAUGCCUUGCAACAAUCCAGAUUGCCUAUACCUGCACGAUAUAGGUACUCAAGAAGAUAGUUUCACAAAAGAGGAGAUGGUAUCCACAUGUGCAAGCAAAAUUCCACAGUUCCAUGGUCCUACAAAUUCAUUGCAGCGGCGUGGGGGUAGUUGCCUACCUCCACCAGAACCUGAGGUCUGUAGCACAAACUUGGCUUCCUCAAGUAAACCUUCUGUCAAAACAGUGAUUUCUAAUGUUGGAGGUCAUGCCAAGACUACAGUUGCUAAUGGAUCUACUGGAAAAGCAACUGCCCUACCAGCUGCUGCUUCCUGGGGCUUGCGUGUUACACAGGGGAAGUCAUUACCCACAAAAGCACCAAUUAUCCCAGUUUCCACAAAACUCAAAUCAAGUUCCUCUCAUACAUUGUCAGUUUCUCCACCUUCAAAUUUACCCACAUCGGCUGCUGUGGUAGUAGCAGCAGCAGCUACCCCUUUGUUGCAUUCGGAUCAUAUCCAAUCGUCUUUGGGUGUGGUCAGUUGUAAUGGGUCACAAACAAGUCUACGUUCGCCAUGUUCUCUGACUUCCAAACAGAAUAUGAAGAACCACCAAACAAGGACAAAUUUGACAAAUGGUGCUGCUGUAGAUUCUUCAGCUGUCACAGCAAUUUCAGAAAAACACAUCAGGGAAGAUAGCCCUGAAAGGAGGCCUAGUGAGAGUCAUUUGCAGCAAAACCAUGGAUUUCAAGAAGCUCUUGAAAAGGCAUCUGAUAUCUCAUUACAAAAUUCAUCCCUUACAGGCAAUUCACAUGUACAGAGUGUUGGCAUUGAGAAAUUAGAAUAUGCAUCUGUAUCAUCUGGUCUUAGGACUAGAAGGCUCUCUCAGGAUGGUUCUAUAAAUUUUCAUAACAAUUUUGAUGAUAUAAGUACCUCAACAUCAAAUGAAAGCUCUAGAGCUUUUCACGGUAGUUUCAAUGCCAGCAAGCUUCCGCUGGAUGCAUCAACAGUCUCUGCAAAUUUGUUACAGAGUGAUAGUAACACACUUGAUGAAAAAUUUAUGGUUGAACCCAUGAAGGAAUUUUCUGUCUCAGAUAUUGAAGAUCAUUGCAUUUCAACUGAGCCUGAAGAACAAUGUCCAGGAUCAGUUGCACAAAUGCUUUCAGAAACAGGAAGAUUUUUAAAACAUGGAUCUUCGUUAGAUGCUAAUAAAAGGCCUUUUCUUUCAUGGAGAUCAACCACCAUGGCUGAAUCGUGCAGUGCAAACACAGCCAUAUCAAAAGAUGACUCAAGUACAGUCUUGUCAUUAGAGACUUCGAAUUUGGACAUUCUUAAUGGCAACAGUUACAAAAUUGGCACAGUUGAUGGAAAAUCUGAUUUUUCUAGAGCAAGAUCCGAGGGUUCUAUUUUGACACAUCCAUUUCAAGAUGUUGGCAUUACAGAAGAUAGAAUUAUAAGGGUCAAUGUUCCAGCCAGCGAGCAGAUUGCUGAAGGCAAUUCUAUAUUAGCAAAAUCACAAUACGUGGAAAGACAUGAAAAUGAUAAAACCCACAUUAGGCAUAACAGUGGUACGGACGCUGGGGAGGACAAUAUUAUCUCAGAUAUUCUUAAAUUGAACAUUGACAUUUGGGAAGAUGAUUCAAUAACUAGUCCCCAUGAUGUUGUUACUAAGGCACUGCUUGGUGAGAAAGAAAAGGUUAAUGGUUUACCAAAGGAUAUAUCAAGCUUAAGGAAAUUGCAAAAUAGUGGACAGUCCAGGUUCUCAUUUGCAAGACAUGAUGGAUCUUCUGGAGAAUCAAGUCAGUCAUCAAAGUCCUUAGUUUCUAGCGGACAAUUCCCAGAUACAUGGUCAAAAGGAAAAGAUACUUUGGAUGAGAGAGUUGGUUAUGAUCAAGUCAACAGAUCAUUGAAUGAUAGGACUGCUUUUGAUCAGGAAGAAUAUCAAAUGCUUUCCAACAGAACUGCACCUCCUCCUCUUUCUGGUUCUACUGUUGCACCACCUUCUGUUUCAAGGUCUCAGUUUUCUGCCCCACCGGGCUUCUCAGUUCCAACCAGGGCCCCUCAAGUUCCGCCUCCUGGAUUUUUUCCUCAGUCAAGAGUUGAAAGGCCAUAUGAACCUCCGACUACAACAGUUUUUUCAAAUGGAACUAAAGAUCACAACGAGGCUGUAUUGUCACAAAAUGCUUUUUCUAAUUCGUACCCUUCACUACAUCAGACACUGGGAGUCAAUAACUCUAAUGAUGUGGAAUUCAUUGAUCCUGCAAUAAUGGCUGUUGGAAAAGGCAAAUUUCCUAUAGGACAGAUCCAGCGUGGUUCUGCAGGUCCUGAUUCAGUUUUUAGUGGUCCUAGGCAGGAUUUGUCUGAUUCGAGUUUUAGUCAGUCCUUUCUUGGACUUCGAUCUCCUUUCCCACAACAGGUCAGUUCUGCAGACUAUGAUGCCAGGCUUCAGAUGCUGAAACAAAAACCAUUUUAUACCAACUCAAGUUUGACAUCUCCAAGGCAGCAGUUUACAUUUCAGGACCAGAUUGGAGACAUUUCAUCUUACUUGUCCCGUCAGAGUGAUGCUAUGAUUCCAUCCAUGAUGAGAGAACAAUCUCAAAUGAACCUUGAUUCUGUGUUCUCUCAGCCAUCUUUUCAACAGCCAAUGAAUUUAUCUUUCAGAAGCUCUUCAGUUGGUGCAAAUGGUUGGGAUAGUUGGAACAGAAUGAGUUCUGCACUUGAAUCUGGGCUUGGGGAGAGAAAUUUUUUAGAAAUUGGGAACAAAGAAAGAAUGGGUGCUUGGGAUCCUAAAAGUGGAUUGACCAAGCUCUUUCCAACUUAUGGUGAAUCGAUGUUCCACAUGCCAUGCUCAGAAAAUUAUUACAGUAGACCAUUUGAAAUGUGAAGAGUUGUUCUACUGCUGCCAAGCAGAGUACUAGAGAAUAGCUAUCAUUGAAAAGCUUAAAUGGUGCAAACUGGUAUGUGGUAAUUUUAAAUUGGUUUUAUCCCGUUCAAAGUCCAAACUUCAAAGAUUAAAACUUGCUGACUAACAGGUUCCCACAAAGCAGUGCUCUUUUGAACAAUUUGUUUGAAGAAUAGUCAGUGCUACAUCUUUUGUAUGUUGAUGGGGAAUAUGGAAAUAGCUACAACAGCUAUGCCGCUGUGGAGCCAUGCUUGUUUUUGUUGGCUGUCAUGGAAAUUGCCAUGGCUUAGAUCUGUUGCCCACUGGAGAAUACUUUUUUAUGCUGCUAUGAUACUCUCUGAUUUGUAGGGGUUUUGAAGAAGUUAUUUUAUUGAUACAAAAAUUGGAGUCACACCUCAUUCAUUCCUUAAUAAAUUAUAUAUUGUGGAGAAAACAGUACUCCUGAAUCCUACAUAUUUUCAGUGGUAUGGAGCUGUGGUACAAGAGAACUUCAUAUCAAUGGGGCUUGAGGACGAUGGCUAUUGCAAUGGUGCUUGCCUUUAUUCAUGUGCACCCAGAUAGGCGAUAUUAUUAUAUGGGCUUUUCAUUGUUAUUAAGAUACAUAGCUCAAAUUGUAAUCUGUUGAUGGGUGAGUUCGAAGUGAAGCUAAUUGAGAAAUUUUGAUGUGAGAAAAUCUGGCUUCAAUUAUCUUGCCAAGAGGAAUUAUUGUUGAUCAAAGUGAUGGACAUUGCUGUUCUGCAAUUCUAGGCAUGAAUGUUGCCACUGCUGUGAACUUAAGAGAACAAUGUCUGCUUUUAUGCUAGACCUUGGAUGGAGACCUACUAAGCUUUGAUGCUAUAUGUUCAGAGGAGCAUAUAUUUCUGUAAGUAAUGUUACUCUCAACUGUUGAGAUGUGCUAGAUUUAUGCACCAUCAAGGUUAUUGGGAUGUCAGAUCAGUACUAAUGAUGAAAUUAAUUUUUAUAAUUGUUAGAUGUCUUUGAAUCAGUUGCGAGUCUCUAAAUGUUUAGGAAUUGGCACUUGAAAUUGUAGUUUUGAAAGAUUCUGUUUGUAGCUUUUUUAAUAAAAAUGAUUCUGGAAUGCAUUCAGAGAUUUCUGUUGAUAACUUACUUUUGUAUGUGAAUUCUCUAAAGCAUAGAAGGGCUGCUGUUUAGAAGUUGGUAUAUGGACUAGAUGACACAAACCAUCUCUGUCAAUUGUCUAAAUUUACAUGAAAAAUCUGAUUGAGAAAGUAUGCAUGUUAAAAUAACCCUUGCAAUACGGUAGGUAAUGUUGACCUUAAAACUUCACUAACUUUUGAGUUUCUAGGUUCUAUUGGCAUGGAGUACCUAGAAUAAAGCAGGAUUUUGAGUAUGGAGCAAGUUGCUAGGACUUAAUGUGGCCCACGCAAAAUAUGGUGGGGGAAUAUCAUGAACAAGAAAUUGGACAUGUGGUUUAUGCAUUGGAUAGUGCCUCGUACAGAUGUGGUUGGUUUCUUUGUGAAUCUUGAGAUCUGCUGUCGGGGCUCUGAAGUUGUUCAACUCUACAUUGAACAGAAGUUGGUUUCAUUGAUAGGCGGAGUGACAAUUUAGGAGUACUGUGAUGCUGUUAUGAAUUAAGUGUUUUCUUGUGUUUUCCCUUUCUGAGGAAAUUAUUGUAUUUUGUACGUCAAGGUAAUUUAUCCUGAAUUUUUUAUCCAAGCAAUAUCGUUUGGAAGAUCUCAUUUUUUCUGUUGGUUUUAUUUGGUUCUGUUGAAUCUCGCAGAAGGGUAUAUAUGCCUCUGCUCUAGCCAUCUACGUGGAGUAUUAUUGCAAAUAUUAAUAAUUCAAGUCCUCAAGCAACGAGUGUCCAACUGUUGGAUAUUCUUUUGUUUGAGGUUUGAGGUUUGA